Molecule: long non-coding RNA, 2068 nt
Organism: Melospiza melodia melodia
Lineage: Eukaryota; Metazoa; Chordata; Aves; Passeriformes; Passerellidae
Exons: 4
Source: RefSeq, a predicted model, not a curated record
AAAAAACAGACAAGUCAUUAGAUUUAGACUGAUUCUUCUACAUUUUUGGGUUCUGUGAUCAUUAGAUUCUGGUUUCCAUUUGAACAGCUGAAUAUUCAUCUAUUUCAGUGAAAAGUAAAGUCUAAGCUGUGAGGAGAGCAGCAACAGUCCAAGAAGCCUAUUGGCAUACAAAAUUUUUACCAAAAUGACUGUUUUUAAAAUGAAGAAAAAUGCUAUUUCUGGUUUCUUUUUUACAGUUCUCUGGAAAGUAACUAAAAUUAAGAAUGAGGGGAUAAGAAGAAUGCAUAAGUGAAUUCAUUUAGAAAGAGAGUGGCAAAAAAGAAUUGUUGGUUUCAGAAAGAAGGACAAUUUUUACUUCAGAUAGAAAUGACAGUCCACUACAAUUCAUCACCAUCCAAGUGCAAAGCAUCCUACAAGAGAUUGAUCGUACAAGUGAAGUCUGAGAAACUGUAAAAGAUCACAACAUUUUUGGGUGAGCGAUCUGGUUUCCACUGGGCAUCAUAGUUUGAAACCCACUGAAGCUGAAUCACUCACAACUCAAAAAGAAUAAAGAAACCCUGUUCCUCUCCCCUAAAUUCUGCUUGUACCCAUUACUCCUUGUCCUACCACUACGGUUCCUGGAGAAGAGUCCUCCUCUGGCUUCCCCUUCAGAUACUGGGAGGUUGUUGUGAGGUCUCUGUGCAACCUUCUGUUCUCCAGGCUGAACAGUCCUAAUUUUGUUGGUCUGUCACUGAACUGUCUGAACUGUGGUUCAUUGUUUGAAAUACUCUAUUCUCUGCAAAUAUCCUUAGGCUGAAUUUUUAUGGAAAAAGAGGUUGUUCUUUUGGUCUGGUGAACAUGCAGUUUUGAAUGAAAGGUGUGGGGGAGCAAAAAUAUUGCUUGGAUUUAAAAAAAAACCUAUUUAUUUACAUUUCUUUGGCAUUUUGGGGGGUUUUUUUCCCUUUGAAAUAUGCCUUUAAAAUUAUUACGGAAAGAAAAAAAAUUAGGACAGUUUGAACUUAAAAUUAAUAUGCUUGUUUUGAAAAUAAUAAGGACAUACUUUUCAACUUAAUUUAUAUCAUUAUGAGAGAGAUAUCUUGUAAGGUACUACAUCAGAGUGUUGCCAUGCCUUGCAGAUUAGGGUAAAAAAUGAAAUUUUUGACAACUGCGGGGGUGGGUUUUCUUGUUUUUCUCCAUUGGUUUUGGUCUAAGUGAUUUGGAAAACACAUUUGCUUUGAAUUUUAGCAAAUGCUAUAUGUCAGUGUUGAUUUCUAAGGAUUAAAUUCCAGGUAUUUACAUAGCUGUGUCUGUAUUGCCUUAAAAUAGGUAGAAAGCUUGAAGUAUAUCUAAUAGAUAUUAUGUUUGCUUAGUAUCUAAUUUGCAUAUCUAACAUAUACUUAAUAUGUUAAGAGAGAACUGGGCUGAAGAGGCAUACGAAUUUUGAUCUCUAAAUAUAAGCUUUCACUACAAUUUUCACCUUCUGUUUUUUCUCUUCAGCUUUACAAGUAAUUUAAUGUUACAAUGCCCCUGCCUUCCUCCACAUACUCAUUCCUUUUUUUAUCUCAGACAAAGGGAAAAAUAAUCCUACAGAAAAAGGUAAAGACUUUGUGCUUUUCUUCAUUCCAGUUCAAGAAAGAUACAAUAAAAUAUAAGGUCAUGAGGUGGUGGGAAUUCAGGAAUAGCAGAAGAACCAUCUUGAAUUGUCUUACAUGGGUUACAAAUCUGCACUUAGCUAUCAGUGGUUGAAUUCUGCCUAUCUCUCUUUAGAGGCUUUGGAAAUCUUUCCAAGAUUUAUUGUAAUAUACUGUCUCAGGUGUUGAUUUUGCCUGGAGUUAGACAUCUAACUGUCUGUUGUGCCCUUUAAAACUAGUUCCUUUUUAUUUUAGCAUAAACUUAAAACAAACUCAGUAGAACACUCCAGGAUCCGGGGUGCUCUUUGUCAAGAUGACACAGUUUAUAUGUACUUUAUGAGACUCCUGUUUCCAAGAGCAAUUAGGAUGUUCUGAGUUAUAUCAACCUGUGUUUGCAUUUGGAUAUUUUCAUUCACUGAUUUAUUUUAGGAUUGUACACUGCAUUGCAAAAUAGAAUU